This 29-nucleotide small RNA is filed under the name Bombyx mori (domestic silkworm). RNAcentral's name for it is "ovarian small RNA-30697". Lineage: Eukaryota; Metazoa; Arthropoda; Insecta; Lepidoptera; Bombycidae. The record is from RNAcentral.
UGAACAUCACAAAACGUAAGACAACAGAA